UUAUUUUGGGCUGAAAAACUUUUUGCUUAAUGGGCCUAAAGAUGAGAGUCCAGUCCUAAAGCUAUUCUUGCAUCUCGAUCUCCGAUCCAUUCGCUCCCUCUCUGUCACCAUCUCCGCUCAAAAUGUGAGGCUUGCGUGUGUGAGAUCUCUCGCUAGACUUGGUCUUAUUUUUCGUGCUACAGACAAAGCCGAAGCCGAAUCACUAGCUUAAUUCUUUGUAAAUGAAAGCAGAAGAAGAAGAAUCAAAGCAUCAUCAUCAUCUUCCAUCACCGUCUCGUCUCUUGUAUUGCAUGCUUGGUGAAGAAGAGAAAUAGGGCAGAUCCAACAACCCCAAGCGUUGAACAAGUGGGAGCGCCGAAAGAUUUAGGGCAAAACUAUGAAAUUCAAAGAUGAAAUCCAAGUGAAGGACGAAGAAAUCGAAGAUGAGAAUGGUUAGGAGAAAGUUAAGACCAAAACCGAACCUGAGAGAACACAGGCUCGGGAUUCUCAAAGACUAGAGACAAGCUGAGUUUGUGGUUGCAAGCUAAGUUUGUGUGUUGGACUGUGCAAGCUUCAGGGAAAACUAUGCUUUUGACGACCAACUUUAUAAUCAACAAGGAGGGGCCGUACAAACUUGAUUACGAUCAAAGUAUCAUAUAUUCCAACUUGGCUUUGGGCUGAGGCUUCAACAUUUCAGCCUUAGGUGUAAAACAAAGACACAGAUUUCCCUUGCUUACUCUGUUUUCUGUUUAUGUAUGGGCAUUGCUUUACUACAUUUUUUACAGAAUUGCUUUAUCAAGAAGCAAUGGUGAAUA
Molecule: non-coding RNA, 794 nt
Organism: Camelina sativa (false flax)
Lineage: Eukaryota; Viridiplantae; Streptophyta; Magnoliopsida; Brassicales; Brassicaceae
Source: RefSeq, a predicted model, not a curated record